Molecule: small RNA, 29 nt
Filed under: Bombyx mori (domestic silkworm)
Lineage: Eukaryota; Metazoa; Arthropoda; Insecta; Lepidoptera; Bombycidae
Description: ovarian small RNA-25679
Source: RNAcentral
UCAGCCAUAGCUAAGGAUAUUGUGGUGGU